GCACCCUUUCAUCACCUAGAAAAAACAAAUGGAUAUAUGUGGGCUACAUGCCCACAAUAAUAUUAAAUUUAUUUUUUAUGCGGAAGAGGCCAUCACAGUAGCUUGCUAUUGGGCCUCUCGCGUGUCGACUAGGCGUUGCACUAUCGCCUAGGCUGGCACACCCCCA
Non-coding RNA from Triticum urartu, 166 nucleotides. Lineage: Eukaryota; Viridiplantae; Streptophyta; Magnoliopsida; Poales; Poaceae. The record is from Rfam.